GCUUAUCAUUUAGAUGCUUUGGUGCCACUCUGUGAUACUGUGUGGAGCCAACAGGCUGUUCCAUAUCUUGCAAAUUACUCUGUAUGUGAAAACAGCCCUGCACAGUUGGUACUCUAAAGCCUAGCUGGCCCAGUGCCUGCAUGCUUUGUUGUGCCCCAUAGGAACUAACACAUGUCAAUAUUGAAUGUAACUGCCCCAUGCCUGGUAAGCCUUGAUGAUAACCAUCACGCAUUGGAGAUAUUGAGUUCAGUUGUCCCGUGCCUUGCAUGCCAUGUUGAGGACCAUAGAAACCAUCAAGGGUUUGUGCCCUGGAGCCCAAUUCCAUAUCUUGCAUGUCCUGUUGUGGAACAUAGCAAUUUUCAGUGGUGUGCGCUCGGGAGUUAAUCUGUUCCAAUUGCUGGUAGCUGUCUUGUAAACCAACCGUUAUCCCUUCUGGCUCAGAAAGUACCUUUUUCUUCUUAUAAAUUUUCUUUUUCUUAGAUGAUUUGGACAUAUUGCUGCUACGAUUCUCUUCUUCAAUGUUAAGAAAACCAUGAACGGCCAAUGAAUUGGGUUCUGAAGCACUUCUAACAGAAUUGUUGACACUUACAC
RNAcentral lists this unclassified non-coding RNA (591 nucleotides) under Hevea brasiliensis (rubber tree). The record is from RNAcentral. Lineage: Eukaryota; Viridiplantae; Streptophyta; Magnoliopsida; Malpighiales; Euphorbiaceae.